AUGAUACAUCUAGUGCAACGGU
This 22-nucleotide microRNA is filed under the name Monodelphis domestica (gray short-tailed opossum). Its description in RNAcentral is "mdo-miR-7371n-3p". Lineage: Eukaryota; Metazoa; Chordata; Mammalia; Didelphimorphia; Didelphidae. The record is from miRBase by way of RNAcentral.